This 476-nucleotide ribosomal RNA is filed under the name uncultured Methylococcaceae bacterium. RNAcentral describes it as "bacterial SSU rRNA". It matches the Rfam family "Bacterial small subunit ribosomal RNA", at positions 97 to 570 of the family's 1533-position model. Lineage: Bacteria; Pseudomonadati; Pseudomonadota; Gammaproteobacteria; Methylococcales; Methylococcaceae. The record is from RNAcentral.
GGCGGACGGGUGAGUAACGCGUAGGAAUCUACCUGGUAUGGGGGACAACUCGGGGAAACUCGAGCUAAUACCGCAUACGCCCUACGGGGGAAAGCGGGGGACCUUCGGGCCUCGCGCUAUCAGAUGAGCCUGCGUUGGAUUAGCUAGUUGGUGGGGUAAUGGCCUACCAAGGCGACGAUCCAUAGCUGGUCUGAGAGGAUGAUCAGCCACACCGGGACUGAGACACGGCCCGGACUCCUACGGGAGGCAGCAGUGGGGAAUAUUGCGCAAUGGGCGAAAGCCUGACGCAGCCAUGCCGCGUGUGUGAAGAAGGCCUUCGGGUUGUAAAGCACUUUCAAUUGGGAGGAAAGGUUCACGGCUAAUACCCGUGAGCUAUGACGUUACCUUUAGAAGAAGCACCGGCUAACUCCGUGCCAGCAGCCGCGGUAAUACGGAGGGUGCAAGCGUUAAUCGGAAUUACUGGGCGUAAAGCGCGC